This 419-nucleotide ribosomal RNA is filed under the name uncultured eukaryote. Its description in RNAcentral is "SSU rRNA". It matches the Rfam family "Eukaryotic small subunit ribosomal RNA", at positions 592 to 1018 of the family's 1831-position model. The record is from RNAcentral.
CAAUAGUGUAUGCUAAAUUUGUUGCGGUUGAAAAGCUCGUAGUUGGAUCUAGGUUAUCGGCCGGCGGUCCGUCGCAAGGCGUGUACUGUUGGUCGGUUUCUUAUCACUGGUUUUCCGCCGGUGCUCUUAACCGGGUGUCGGCGGUGGCUGGUAAAUUUACUUUGAAAAAUUAGAGUGUUUAAAGCAGGCUGUUUGUCUGUAUAUCGAUGCAUGGAAUAAUAGAAUAAGACCUCGUAACUAUUUGUUGGUUUUUGGCAACGAGGUAAUGAUUAAGAGGGACAGACGGGGGCAUCCGUACUCUGCCGUUAGAGGUGAAAUUCUUGGAUCGGCGGAAGACGAACUACUGCGAAAGCAUUGACCAAGAAUGUUUUCUUUAAUCAAGAGCGAAAGUCAGAGGUUCGAAGAUGAUUAGAUACCAU